This 632-nucleotide ribosomal RNA is filed under the name uncultured bacterium. RNAcentral describes it as "bacterial SSU rRNA". It matches the Rfam family "Bacterial small subunit ribosomal RNA", at positions 64 to 691 of the family's 1533-position model. The record is from RNAcentral.
CGACGGCAGCACGGGAGCAAUCCUGGUGGCGAGUGGCGAACGGGUGAGUAAUGUAUCGGAACGUACCUUUCAGUGGGGGAUAACGUAGCGAAAGUUACGCUAAUACCGCAUAUUCUGUGAGCAGGAAAGCAGGGGAUCGCAAGACCUUGCGCUGAUUGAGCGGCCGAUAUCAGAUUAGCUAGUUGGUGAGGUAAAGGCUCACCAAGGCGACGAUCUGUAGCGGGUCUGAGAGGAUGAUCCGCCACACUGGAACUGAGACACGGUCCAGACUCCUACGGGAGGCAGCAGUGGGGAAUUUUGGACAAUGGGCGCAAGCCUGAUCCAGCCAUGCCGCGUGAGUGAAGAAGGCCUUCGGGUUGUAAAGCUCUUUCAGCCGGGAAGAAAACGCAUGGGUUAAUACCCUGUGUGGAUGACGGUACCGGAAUAAGAAGCACCGGCUAACUACGUGCCAGCAGCCGCGGUAAUACGUAGGGUGCGAGCGUUAAUCGGAAUUACUGGGCGUAAAGCGUGCGCAGGCGGUUUGUUAAGAUAGGCGUGAAAUCCCCGGGCUCAACCUGGGAACUGCGUUUAUGACUGGCAGGCUAGAGUAUGGCAGAGGGGGGUGGAAUUCCACGUGUAGCAGUGAAAUGCGU